AACUGCUUCACCUAUGGGCUUGACGGGAAAAUUCAAAAUCGCGAACCGUUACAGCCUGGACUACUCGCUGUCUUUGUUUGUUUGGUCAUCAACAGUAAGAGGUCAUGUACACUGUGGUCAACUUUGUGGACGCUGAAGAGGUUUCUGGGGAAAGAUGAUAGAAAUAUAAUGAAGUAACAGUGGAAGCUAAAACAUCAGACUGAUCCAGACACUGAAGAAAUUGAUGUCACUGCAAUCUGGCCAAAAUGAUACAACUAUAUUGAAGUAGCCUACUGUAAUGAAGCUGCAGAACGUCACAGAGACUCUGAGGACAUCAACACAGAAAAUGAAGGCUCCAAAGAGAUGUCUGUCCAGAUGAGGGUGCAUCAACGUUACCUUUGCUGACAAGUAUAUGCUUUACAAUGUAAAACCUAACAGUUAACUUAACUCAAACCAUUUAAGGAAAUCGGUUGCCUUAAACCAUUAAGUUUUAAAAAAACAUACAUUUGAGUACUGUGAACUUAAGUCUUGUGCAAUUAUGCACUUAUAUUUAGGUAGUGUGAACUUAAAUUGAGUC
This is a non-coding RNA of Misgurnus anguillicaudatus (oriental weatherfish), 556 nucleotides long. The record is from RefSeq and is a predicted model, not a curated record. NCBI's taxonomy places the organism in Eukaryota, Metazoa, Chordata, Actinopteri, Cypriniformes, Cobitidae.